This 342-nucleotide long non-coding RNA is filed under the name Rattus norvegicus (Norway rat). RNAcentral describes it as "long non-coding RNA NONRATT016648". Lineage: Eukaryota; Metazoa; Chordata; Mammalia; Rodentia; Muridae. The record is from RNAcentral.
GGAGGAGCUUCAGAAAAAGCUGGAUGAAGAGGUGAAGAAGCGGCAAAAGCUAGAACCAUCCAGGAUUGGGCUAGAGAGGCAGCUGGAGGAGAAGGCUGAAGAGUGCCACCGACUGCAGGAGCUGCUGGAGAAGAGAAAGGGGGAGGUCCAGCAGAGUGCCAAGGAGCUUCAGAACAUGAAGCUCCUGCUGGGCCAGGAAGAAGGACUACGACAUGGGCUGGAGACCCAGGUGAAGGAGCUACAGCUCAAGCUGAAACAUAGCCAGAAUCUUGAUCCCGGAAAGGAGAGUCUCCUGAAGGACUUGUUAGAGACCCGGGAACUUCUGGAAGAGCUCUUAGAGGG